Molecule: ribosomal RNA, 202 nt
Filed under: uncultured bacterium
Lineage: Bacteria
Description: partial 16S ribosomal RNA
Source: RNAcentral
GAUUAUCCCGAUAUCUACACAUUCCACCGUUACACCGGGAAUUCCAGUCUCCCCUACUGCACUCUAGCCCGCCCGUACCCGGCGCAGACCCACCGUUAAGCGAUGGGCUUUCACACCAGACGCGACGAACCGCCUACAAGCUCUUUACGCCCAAUAAUUCCGGAUAACGCUUGCGCCCUACGUAUUACCGCGGCUGCUGGCA